RNAcentral lists this transfer RNA (85 nucleotides) under Caudoviricetes sp. RNAcentral's name for it is "tRNA-Tyr". It matches the Rfam family "tRNA". Rfam says of the family: Transfer RNA (tRNA) molecules are approximately 80 nucleotides in length. Their secondary structure includes four short double-helical elements and three loops (D, anti-codon, and T loops). Further hydrogen bonds mediate the characteristic L-shaped molecular structure. tRNAs have two regions of fundamental functional importance: the anti-codon, which is responsible for specific mRNA codon recognition, and the 3' end, to which the tRNAs corresponding amino acid is attached (by aminoacyl-tRNA synthetases). tRNAs cope with the degeneracy of the genetic code in two manners: having more than one tRNA (with a specific anti-codon) for a particular amino acid; and 'wobble' base-pairing, i.e. permitting non-standard base-pairing at the 3rd anti-codon position. Lineage: Duplodnaviria; Heunggongvirae; Uroviricota; Caudoviricetes. The record is from RNAcentral.
GGGAAGUUGGGUGAAUGGUUAAGCCAGCAGACUGUAAAUCUGCCGCCUUCGGGCAUUCUAGGUUCUAAUCCUAGGCUUCCCACCA